RNAcentral lists this ribosomal RNA (254 nucleotides) under uncultured bacterium. RNAcentral's name for it is "partial 16S ribosomal RNA". It matches the Rfam family "Bacterial small subunit ribosomal RNA", at positions 524 to 776 of the family's 1533-position model. The record is from RNAcentral.
UACAGAGGGUGCAAGCGUUGUUCGGAAUUACUGGGCGUAAAGCGCGUGUAGGCGGCGAGCGUUAGUCGGAUGUGAAAUCCCUCAGCUCAACUGAGGAAGUGCAUUCGAUACUGCGUCGCUUGAAUGUCGGAGGGGAUGGCGGAAUUCCCGGUGUAGAGGUGAAAUCCGUAGAUAUCGGGAGGAACACCUGUGGCGAAGGCGGCCAUCUGGACGACGAUUGACGCUGAGACGCGAAAGCGUGGGUAGCAAACAGG